GGCCCAGUAGCUCAGUUGGUUAGAGCAGCGGACUCAUAAUCCGUUGGUCCGAGGUUCGAGUCCUCGCUGGGCCA
This 74-nucleotide transfer RNA is filed under the name Conexibacter woesei DSM 14684. RNAcentral describes it as "tRNA-Ile2 (CAT) (tRNA-Ile2-CAT-1-1)". It matches the Rfam family "tRNA". From Rfam's summary of the family: Transfer RNA (tRNA) molecules are approximately 80 nucleotides in length. Their secondary structure includes four short double-helical elements and three loops (D, anti-codon, and T loops). RNAcentral also lists the same sequence under 2 other names. The record is from Rfam by way of RNAcentral. Lineage: Bacteria; Bacillati; Actinomycetota; Thermoleophilia; Solirubrobacterales; Conexibacteraceae.